AUGAGCACGAUAUUUCUAAAAGUCUAUGAAAAACUUCCUGCAGACCUAGAUACAAGAUCUUCUUUUGGUUCCUUCUUCAUGACAGGAUCAACACUAGAAAUAUGCUAUCCAGGAGAAAGAUGCAUCUUCCAGACUAUUCUUGUGUUCUAUGCUCCGAAAAAGUGGAGGAAACACUGGGUCAUCUAUUUUGGGACUGCUCCUUUGCACUUUCAUGUUGGGAUUCUAUUGUUCUUGGAAGACAUCGUGGCAUUUCCUCUUUUGAUGAGAUCUCAAUCAUUUCCGACCUGCUACCACAGGACAUUGUUUUGGAUAUCAUCCUUUCGGGUUGUUGGGGCAUUUGGUCCGUAA
This 348-nucleotide ribosomal RNA is filed under the name Triticum aestivum (bread wheat). RNAcentral describes it as "partial small subunit ribosomal RNA". The record is from RNAcentral. Lineage: Eukaryota; Viridiplantae; Streptophyta; Magnoliopsida; Poales; Poaceae.